CAAGAAAUAGUUUAAGAUAAAAUGUUAACAUUGGAAGUUAUUGAUUAAGUUAAUUCUUAUUUUUUGA
This 67-nucleotide transfer RNA is filed under the name Rhombosepion orbignyanum. RNAcentral's name for it is "tRNA-Pro". The record is from RNAcentral. Lineage: Eukaryota; Metazoa; Mollusca; Cephalopoda; Sepiida; Sepiidae.